RNAcentral lists this ribosomal RNA (683 nucleotides) under Bacillus cereus. Its description in RNAcentral is "bacterial SSU rRNA". It matches the Rfam family "Bacterial small subunit ribosomal RNA", at positions 62 to 725 of the family's 1533-position model. Lineage: Bacteria; Bacillati; Bacillota; Bacilli; Caryophanales; Bacillaceae. The record is from RNAcentral.
UCGAGCGAAUGGAUUAAGAGCUUGCUCUUAUGAAGUUAGCGGCGGACGGGUGAGUAACACGUGGGUAACCUGCCCAUAAGACUGGGAUAACUCCGGGAAACCGGGGCUAAUACCGGAUAACAUUUUGAACCGCAUGGUUCGAAAUUGAAAGGCGGCUUCGGCUGUCACUUAUGGAUGGACCCGCGUCGCAUUAGCUAGUUGGUGAGGUAACGGCUCACCAAGGCAACGAUGCGUAGCCGACCUGAGAGGGUGAUCGGCCACACUGGGACUGAGACACGGCCCAGACUCCUACGGGAGGCAGCAGUAGGGAAUCUUCCGCAAUGGACGAAAGUCUGACGGAGCAACGCCGCGUGAGUGAUGAAGGCUUUCGGGUCGUAAAACUCUGUUGUUAGGGAAGAACAAGUGCUAGUUGAAUAAGCUGGCACCUUGACGGUACCUAACCAGAAAGCCACGGCUAACUACGUGCCAGCAGCCGCGGUAAUACGUAGGUGGCAAGCGUUAUCCGGAAUUAUUGGGCGUAAAGCGCGCGCAGGUGGUUUCUUAAGUCUGAUGUGAAAGCCCACGGCUCAACCGUGGAGGGUCAUUGGAAACUGGGAGACUUGAGUGCAGAAGAGGAAAGUGGAAUUCCAUGUGUAGCGGUGAAAUGCGUAGAGAUAUGGAGGAACACCAGUGGCGAAGGCGAC